RNAcentral lists this unclassified non-coding RNA (363 nucleotides) under uncultured bacterium. Its description in RNAcentral is "contains 16S-23S intergenic spacer region". The record is from RNAcentral.
UCCCCGUUACCGGGGCAGUCCAGCCAGAAAAAUUCAACUGACUAUAAGGGUUGCGCUCGUUGAUGGACUUAACCAAACAUCUCACGACACGAGCUGACGACGGCCAUGCAACACCUGUCAUCGGGUUCCAAAAGGCACGGUCCCCUUUCAGGGACUUUCCCGAGAUGUCAAACCCUGGUAAGGUUCUUCGCUUACCAUCGAAUUAAAGAACACGCUCCACCGCUUGUGCGGGUCCCCGUCAAUUCCUUUAUGUUUUAGUCUUGCGACCGUACUCCACAGGCGGGAUGCUUAACGCGUUAGCUUCGCUACUACCAGGGUCGAUACUGAUAACAGCUAGCAUCCAUAGUUUACGGCGUGGACUAC